Talpa occidentalis (Iberian mole) is the source of this 192-nucleotide long non-coding RNA. RefSeq lists it as uncharacterized. The transcript is spliced from 3 exons. The record is from RefSeq and is a predicted model, not a curated record. Lineage: Eukaryota; Metazoa; Chordata; Mammalia; Eulipotyphla; Talpidae.
CCCGCGGCGUUAGUUAGAAAACGCGCCGCAGCCUCUCCAAAUCCCCGGACGAAGCCACAGUCCGGGUGACAGCCAGCCACGAGAGGACAGAUCGACAUCUCCGUGACUUGGAGCAUGGCAGCGAAUGAGCCACCAACUCCAUGGUGGGCAUAAGAGGUGCCAGGGUCGCAUGGUGAACAAGAGAAGCUUCUC